GGGAUAGCAGUUAAAAAUAUUUGACUUGCACUCAAAAGAAAUUGAACAAAUUCAAUCUAUCUUA
This 64-nucleotide transfer RNA is filed under the name Tetraphalerus bruchi. Its description in RNAcentral is "tRNA-Ala". It matches the Rfam family "tRNA". From Rfam's summary of the family: Transfer RNA (tRNA) molecules are approximately 80 nucleotides in length. Their secondary structure includes four short double-helical elements and three loops (D, anti-codon, and T loops). Further hydrogen bonds mediate the characteristic L-shaped molecular structure. tRNAs have two regions of fundamental functional importance: the anti-codon, which is responsible for specific mRNA codon recognition, and the 3' end, to which the tRNAs corresponding amino acid is attached (by aminoacyl-tRNA synthetases). tRNAs cope with the degeneracy of the genetic code in two manners: having more than one tRNA (with a specific anti-codon) for a particular amino acid; and 'wobble' base-pairing, i.e. permitting non-standard base-pairing at the 3rd anti-codon position. The record is from RNAcentral. Lineage: Eukaryota; Metazoa; Arthropoda; Insecta; Coleoptera; Ommatidae.